Molecule: ribosomal RNA, 503 nt
Filed under: uncultured bacterium
Lineage: Bacteria
Description: partial 16S ribosomal RNA
Rfam family: Bacterial small subunit ribosomal RNA
Source: RNAcentral
AACGAACGCUGGCGGCGUGCCUAACACAUGCCAGUCGAACGAGAAAGGGGCUUCGGCUCCGAGUAAAGUGGCGCACGGGUGAGUAACACGUGGGUAACCUGCCUCUAAGAUUGGGAUAACUCGUCGAAAGAUGAGCUAAUACCGAAUAAGACCACAGUUCCCGCGGGAACAGGGGUCAAAGGUAGCCUCUGCUUGCAAGCUAUCACUUAGAGAUGGGCCUGCGCACCAUUAGCUAGUUGGUAGGGUAACGGCCUACCAAGGCAAAGAUGGUUAGCUGGUCUGAGAGGAUGAUCAGCCACACUGGAACUGAGACACGGUCCAGACUCCUACGGGAGGCAGCAGUGGGGAAUAUUGCGCAAGGGGCGAAAGCUUGACGCAGCAACGCCGCGGGAGUGAUGAAGGCCUUCGGGUCGUAAAGCUCUGUCGGGAGGAACGAAUGCUCCUGAGGUUAACAGCCUCGGGAGGUGACGGUACCUUCAAAGGAAGCACCGGCUAACUCUGUG